This 467-nucleotide ribosomal RNA is filed under the name uncultured bacterium. RNAcentral describes it as "partial 16S ribosomal RNA". It matches the Rfam family "Bacterial small subunit ribosomal RNA", at positions 28 to 507 of the family's 1533-position model. The record is from RNAcentral.
GACGAACGCUGGCGGCGUGCUUAACACAUGCAAGUCGAACGGGAAGGCCUCUUUCGGGGGGUACUCGAGUGGCGAACGGGUGAGUAACACGUGAGUAACCUGCCCUUGACUUUGGGAUAACUUCAGGAAACUGGGGCUAAUACCGGAUAGGAGCUCCUGCUGCAUGGUGGGGGUUGGAAAGUUUCGGCGGUUGGGGAUGGACUCGCGGCUUAUCAGCUUGUUGGUGGGGUAGUGGAUUACCAAGGCUUUGACGGGUAGCCGGCCUGAGAGGGUGACCGGCGACAUUGGGACUGAGGUACGGCCCAGAUUCCUACGGGAGGCAGCAGUGGGGAAUAUUGCACAAUGGGUGGAAGCCUGAUGCAGCAACGCCGUGUGCGGGAUGACUGCCUUCGGGUUGUAAACCGCUUUCGCUCAUGACGAAGCGUUGUGUGACGGUAGUGGGUAAAGAAGCACCGGCUAACUACGUG